GACGGAGGGCGCAAGCGUUGUUCGGAAUUACUGGGCGUAAAGCGCGCGCAGGCGGGAAGGUAAGUCUGGAGUGAAAUUCCGGGGCUCAACUCCGGAGCUGCUUUGGAUACUGUCUUUCUAGGGACCGGUAGAGGCCGGUGGAAUUCCCGGUGUAGCGGUGGAAUGCGUAGAGAUCGGGAAGAACACCCGUGGCGAAGGCGGCCGGCUGGGCCGGGUCCGACGCUGAGGAGCGAAAGCGUGGGGAGCGAACAGG
Molecule: ribosomal RNA, 253 nt
Filed under: uncultured bacterium
Lineage: Bacteria
Description: partial 16S ribosomal RNA
Rfam family: Bacterial small subunit ribosomal RNA
Source: RNAcentral